ACGGAAGGCAGCAGUGGGGAAUAUUGCACAAUGGGGGAAACCCUGAUGCAGCGACGCCGCGUGAAGGAAGAAGUAUCUCGGUAUGUAAACUUCUAUCAGCAGGGAAGAAAAUGACGGUACCUGACUAAGAAGCUCCGGCUAAAUACGUGCCAGCAGCCGCGGUAAUACGUAUGGAGCAAGCGUUAUCCGGAUUUACUGGGUGUAAAGGGAGCGUAGACGGCGUGGCAAGUCUGAUGUGAAAGCUAUGGGCUCAACCCAUAAACUGCAUUGGAAACUGUCAUGCUAGAGUGUCGGAGAGGUAAGCGGAAUUCCUAGUGUAGCGGUGAAAUGCGUAGAUAUUAGGAGGAACACCAGUGGCGAAGGCGGCUUACUGGACGAUAACUGACGUUGAGGCUCGAAAGCGUGGGGAGCAAACAGGAUUAGAUACCCUGGUA
This 434-nucleotide ribosomal RNA is filed under the name uncultured bacterium. RNAcentral's name for it is "partial 16S ribosomal RNA". It matches the Rfam family "Bacterial small subunit ribosomal RNA", at positions 341 to 792 of the family's 1533-position model. The record is from RNAcentral.